AAGUCGUAACAAGGUUUCCGUAGGUGAACCUGCGGAAGGAUCAUUAACACGUAUCCAAACGUUAAAACCCCCCCCGUGAACCUUCAUCCUGCUCUUGUAACCCGCGUAGUUCGCAAUCUCUGAUAAAUCAUAGCCCGGAAAGUUGUAGUAAACUGGUGGGUUAUUAGGGGGCAUGGGGACCCUUUGGCAAAGCUCCUGCCCGAGUGUACGGUCUACAGGAAUCGUAGAAGCGCUAUCCUUGCACAAUCAAUGACACUUUCCGACACUGACUGCUUGGGGAAACAUUGCCUAUAGAACUACCGCUCGAUUGUAACUGUUCCAAUGUUCGCACGUAGCCAGAGGUCUCUGAAUCACUGAAGCUCAAUGUAAUACAUUGGGUAAAAAAACCGAACAACUGUUAACAAUGGAUAUCUUGGUUCUC
RNAcentral lists this unclassified non-coding RNA (421 nucleotides) under fungal sp. RNAcentral describes it as "partial internal transcribed spacer region". The stretch from base 1 to 46 matches the Rfam family "Eukaryotic small subunit ribosomal RNA", at positions 1786 to 1831 of the family's 1831-position model. Lineage: Eukaryota; Fungi. The record is from RNAcentral.